RNAcentral lists this ribosomal RNA (895 nucleotides) under Salmonella enterica subsp. enterica serovar Enteritidis. RNAcentral describes it as "partial 23S ribosomal RNA". It matches the Rfam family "Bacterial large subunit ribosomal RNA", at positions 711 to 1607 of the family's 2925-position model. Lineage: Bacteria; Pseudomonadati; Pseudomonadota; Gammaproteobacteria; Enterobacterales; Enterobacteriaceae. The record is from RNAcentral.
AGACCCGAAACCCGGUGAUCUAGCCAUGGGCAGGUUGAAGGUUGGGUAACACUAACUGGAGGACCGAACCGACUAAUGUUGAAAAAUUAGCGGAUGACCUGUGGCUGGGGGUGAAAGGCCAAUCAAACCGGGAGAUAGCUGGUUCUCCCCGAAAGCUAUUUAGGUAGCGCCUCGUGAAUUCAUCUCCGGGGGUAGAGCACUGUUUCGGCUAGGGGGCCAUCCCGGCUUACCAACCCGAUGCAAACUGCGAAUACCGGAGAAUGUUAUCACGGGAGACACACGGCGGGUGCUAACGUCCGUCGUGAAGAGGGAAACAACCCAGACCGCCAGCUAAGGUCCCAAAGUCAUGGUUAAGUGGGAAACGAUGUGGGAAGGCCCAGACAGCCAGGAUGUUGGCUUAGAAGCAGCCAUCAUUUAAAGAAAGCGUAAUAGCUCACUGGUCGAGUCGGCCUGCGCGGAAGAUGUAACGGGGCUAAACCAUGCACCGAAGCUGCGGCAGCGACACUGUGUGUUGUUGGGUAGGGGAGCGUUCUGUAAGCCUGUGAAGGUGUGUCGUGAGGCAUGCUGGAGGUAUCAGAAGUGCGAAUGCUGACAUAAGUAACGAUAAAGCGGGUGAAAAGCCCGCUCGCCGGAAGACCAAGGGUUCCUGUCCAACGUUAAUCGGGGCAGGGUGAGUCGACCCCUAAGGCGAGGCCGAAAGGCGUAGUCGAUGGGAAACGGGUUAAUAUUCCCGUACUUGGUGUUACUGCGAAGGGGGGACGGAGAAGGCUAUGUUGGCCGGGCGACGGUUGUCCCGGUUUAAGCGUGUAGGCUGGUUUUCCAGGCAAAUCCGGAAAAUCAAGGCUGAGGCGUGAUGACGAGGCACUACGGUGCUGAAGCAACAAAUGCCCUGCUU